This 274-nucleotide ribosomal RNA is filed under the name uncultured prokaryote. RNAcentral's name for it is "partial 16S ribosomal RNA". It matches the Rfam family "Bacterial small subunit ribosomal RNA", at positions 524 to 798 of the family's 1533-position model. The record is from RNAcentral.
UACGUAGGGGCGAGCGUUGUCCGGAAUGAUUGGGCGUAAAGGGCGCGUAGGCGGCUUUGCAAGUCAGUAGUGGAAGUCCAUUUUUCAAGGAUGGAAGUGCUACAGAAACUGCGGAGCUUGAGUGCAGGAGAGGUUAUCGGAAUUCCCGGUGUAGCGGUGAAAUGCGUAGAGAUCGGGAGGAACACCAGUGGCGAAGGCGGGUAACUGGACUGCAACUGACGCUGAGGCGCGAAAGUGUGGGGAGCAAACAGGAUUAGAUACCCCCGUAGUCCCU